RNAcentral lists this long non-coding RNA (303 nucleotides) under Trifolium pratense (red clover). RNAcentral's name for it is "long non-coding RNA (TPRA_LNC009149)". The record is from RNAcentral. Lineage: Eukaryota; Viridiplantae; Streptophyta; Magnoliopsida; Fabales; Fabaceae.
CGUCACCCACGUUUUUUUAUCGUUUCCAAUCCAUCAAAAGUGUUACAAAAUUACCUUUCCAAAUCCCCUUCUCUGAUCAAUGCUUACUUCAUCUUUCCAAUGGUCAUGUCGGUACUCACCUUGCAUUGGAUUUCACAAAACUAUUGUGCAGGCUGUAUCACGCAGGAAGAAAGUAAAGCAUGUGUUGUGAGGGUGUGUAAACUCAACAAGAACAAACCUUAUAUAAAAUAAGGGAGGAUAAGAAACAGAGGUUGAUCAAGGAUAACAAUUUUGUUUCAUUCUAUAUUCUAUAUUUCUAUAAUA